Daphnia pulex (common water flea) is the source of this 1672-nucleotide long non-coding RNA. RefSeq lists it as uncharacterized. The record is from RefSeq and is a predicted model, not a curated record. The transcript is spliced from 2 exons. NCBI's taxonomy places the organism in Eukaryota, Metazoa, Arthropoda, Branchiopoda, Diplostraca, Daphniidae.
UUAAAUGGCGGUGAGGUGAUUUGGCGUUUUUUACUUCAAGAAUUUCUAGUGUUCCUGAAUGGAUGAGAUACUCCCAAGAAGUUCUUCCAGCUUUUUGCCAUUAUAAUAUUAUGAAAUUUUACUAUAAGAAAAUUUUCAUUUUAUUAUAACAUUGGUAACAAUGUUUGGGAAACUUCCUUGCAUCAAAAGAUUCUUGGUUAACCUUAUUUUGAAAAGUUAUAAAAUGUAUCGUGAUCACCAUUAUUUUAAAAAUAGAAGUUCCCUUCCAAAAUUUAUUCAAAAGUCAUUUUUUCAUACCUAGAAAAAAUUUGUAGUUUCGAUUUUUAAAAAUCGUUACUUAAAUUAAGAUAACUCUUCUAUGCUGUUUUUCUUAAUUUUUUGAACAUGAAUUGUUAAUUACAUGAAUUGUUAAAAUGUGUAUUAGUUUUAUGAUGGGUUUUAUUUGGGGUACCAAACGAUCACUUUUUUUGAAUUUUUUUAAGAAAAUCGAUUUAUAAUUUGAAAUAAAAAAUCUAUUUGAGACAUGCUUUAUAAAUUAAAAAUUAUGUUGAAAAACCAAUAUUAGAACAAAAUUUGAAAUUAAAAUAAAAAAUCAAAACCAUUUUAAAAAUAAAAUGAAAAAAAAUCAUUCCACAUACUUCAGUUAUGGUCAAUAAAAACACCCCUGCUGUAUGUAUUGGUUGUAUGUUGCGGGAUAACAUUAAAUUUUCCGCAAUCCACAAUGCUGUUAGCUAGAUACAGAUUGCUUCUGUUGGCUGGGGGUGGGGUGGAGAUAAGUUCAAAUUCAAUUUUAAAAUGUUUUUUAUUUUUGAAUUCAGUUUAUUCUUCGUAAAAAUGUUCUAACCGAUUUCUAAUUCGUUUUUAAAUUUCCAAUUUAUAAAGACUAUUUUGUUUAAAAUCUUGAAUUGGUUUUACAAAAUUGCAUUUUAGUUUUUACUUUUUAACUUAUUUUGAUUUUUGAGUUUACUUUCAAAUUUGUUUCCAUAUUGAUUUCUUUUUUAACUUAUUUUUUUAUUUUCGUCAAAGCAUGUUUCAAAUAAAUUGUCAGUUUCAAAUUGUACAUAGAAUUUAAGGAAAAAAAUUCCAAAAAGACCCCAGUUUUAUCAAAAUUUUAUGAGUAUGAAAAUAUGUAUCAUUUUUUCAAACAAAAAAUUUAUCCGUUGUUCAAAUGUAUUAACUGAAAAUUCAUUACUUUUAAAAAAUUCUUCGAAAAGUACAGAAAUAAUUUAAUUCGUUGGGCAUUUUCAAAGCAUCAUUUUUUGUUUGUUAAUAGAAAAUUGACGCAUUUUUGUUACGAAAAACUACAUGCAAUCUAGGUUAGUUCAAAUGUUAGUUAUUUACAUGUUAGUUUUAACCUCUAAAUUUUUCAAACAUCCAAAAUGUUAACAAACGGAGCUAUUUUAAGAUAGAAGGUAAUAAUGAAAAGAAGCUUUUUUUGUGUGGAUCUUAACAUUUCUACAUAUUUUCAAUAACAUGUUUUUAAUUUAUUUUUUUAAAGUCCGAAAAUAUUAUUUUCCUGCAAAUGAUUUGAACGCAACAAUUUCACGACGUUCAAUUUCAAAGUUUCCACGAAGUAAAAAAUAUUUUAAACUAUGCAAAGCGUAUUUCUGUUGGUAGUUGGAUACACAAAUAUUUUAGAAAAGUGCUGAAAUAAAUUAUUCUAAAUUUGAAA